This 491-nucleotide long non-coding RNA is filed under the name Equus caballus (horse). RNAcentral's name for it is "lncRNA (ENSECAG00000046582.1)". The record is from RNAcentral. Lineage: Eukaryota; Metazoa; Chordata; Mammalia; Perissodactyla; Equidae.
AUCUAAGGAAGAUGUAAGAGGGUAAAAUUAUGAAGAUAAAUGCAAUUACCUGGGGAACCUGGACAAAAUUUUACCCCCUACCUGUGGUCCUGAGAUCCACACAGCCAGUCAAUCAACGGGCUCCAUCUGAAGGGCUCACUCUUCCCCAAGCCUGGCCUCCUGAGGUACUCCUGCCUCUUCUGUCCCUGGAACUUGGAACAUGAGGCAGGAGGCGGGAAGGUGAAGGAAGAAAGAAGAAACAGAUCACACUGGUCCCCGCCCUGGUCACCAAGGCACACGUAAGCCUGCUCUGAGGGAACGAGAGAAGCUUUAAAUUAUAUGUCAUCUUGAAGUUUGAAAAAGGACAGAAUGAGGCUUUUGAAUGCCUGAAAGGGACUCUACAUUGUCAAAAAGGAGUAAAAGAGAUUGGACAGCUAUGGAACCUGCCCAAGAUGUCAUCGAGAGGCAAAGAAGGGAAAUGAGAUAAAGCAUGAAGGAAAUGGUAAGAGGAC